RNAcentral lists this ribosomal RNA (585 nucleotides) under uncultured bacterium. RNAcentral describes it as "partial 16S ribosomal RNA". It matches the Rfam family "Bacterial small subunit ribosomal RNA", at positions 355 to 1376 of the family's 1533-position model. The record is from RNAcentral.
UAAGGAAUAUUGGUCAAUGGACGCAAGUCUGAACCAGCCAUGCCGCGUGAAGGAUUAAGGUCCUCUGGAUUGUAAACUUCCUUUAUCUGGGACGAAAAAAGGCGAUUCUUCGUCACUUGACGGUACCAGAUGAAUAAGCACCGGCUAACUCCGUGCCAGCAGCCGCGGUAAUACGGAGGGUGCAAGCGUUAUCCGGAUUCACUGGGUUUAAAGGGUGCGUAGGCGGGCAGGUAAGUCAGUGGUGAAACCCCUGGAGCUUAACUCCCAGAACUGCCAUUGAUACUAUCUGUCUUGAAUAUUGUGGAGGUAAGCGGAAUAUGUCAUGUAGCGGUGAAAUGCUUAGAUAUGACAUAGAACACCUAUUGCGAAGGCAGCUUACUACGCAUAUAUUGACGCUGAGGCACGAAAGCGUGGGGAUCAAACAGGAUUAGAUACCCUGGUAGUCCACGCCCUAAACGAUGGAUACUCGACAUACGCGAUACACUGUGUGUGUCUGAGCGAAAGCAUUAAGUAUCCCCACCCUGGGGAAGUACGACCGCAAGGUUUGAAACUUAAAGGAAUUGACGGGGUCAUAGCUGUUUCCUG